This 417-nucleotide ribosomal RNA is filed under the name Triticum aestivum (bread wheat). RNAcentral's name for it is "partial small subunit ribosomal RNA". Lineage: Eukaryota; Viridiplantae; Streptophyta; Magnoliopsida; Poales; Poaceae. The record is from RNAcentral.
AUGGCGGCUCUCGAGUUGGCCGUGUCAGCAUCAAGUGUGGUGCUGCCCGCCGCCGGCGGGCGCGCGGGGCCACCGCAGCUCUUAAGCCCCACCUGGGUGCCACCAACAUGCAGCCCACCGGCCUUACGACACAUGAUACCAGCAUCCCGUAUCUGUGGCGCGCACAUGGCACUAACGCCGGCGAGAGGCCCAUCUAACCCCCACGCAUCCCUCCCAUCCCUUGUAGCCCCUCCUCCACCUGCUAUUGAUGUCAGCAAGCUCGGCAUGGGCAACGCUCUGAGGCAUUCGACCAAAUGCCCGCAAGUGCCAAUUUUUCAUGAGCAUGAUGAGCGUCUCUGUGUGCAUAGACGACAUCAACUACUUGAUGCCAAAUUCUCAAGUACAAGAUGUCGUGGAGUUGUUUGGCACUCUGUUUGA